GAUGAAGAACGUAGCGAAAUGCGAUAAGUAAUGCGAAUUGCAGAAUUCCGUGAGUCAUCGAGUCUUUGAACGCACAUUGCGCCCCCUGGUAUUCCGGGGGGCAUGCCUGUCCGAGCGUCAUUGCUGCCCUCAAGCACGGCUUGUGUGUUGGGCCCCGUCCUCCGAUCCCGGGGGACGGGCCCGAAAGGCAGCGGCGGCACCGCGUCCGGUCCUCGAGCGUAUGGGGCUUUGUCACCCGCUCUGUAGGCCCGGCCGGCGCUUGCCGAUCAACCCAAAUUUUUAUCCAGGUUGACCUCGGAUCAGGUAGGGAUACCCGCUGAACUUAAGCAUAUCAAUAAGCGGAGGA
This 346-nucleotide unclassified non-coding RNA is filed under the name soil metagenome. RNAcentral describes it as "partial contains 5.8S ribosomal RNA, internal transcribed spacer 2, and large subunit ribosomal RNA". The stretch from base 1 to 120 matches the Rfam family "5.8S ribosomal RNA", at positions 35 to 154 of the family's 154-position model. The record is from RNAcentral.